UUUAGGUUGCCUGAGGUAUCGUGCCCAUUGAGCGUGGAUAAGGUCGGCUGAUGGCGGGCAUUGGAAUGGUAUGAUUUAUGAUGAGGGGGCAGGUGAGAGGAAGUGGUGAUUAGGAACCACGGUAUGUUUAUUGGCAAGGACGGUUGGGUUACUGUAUAACACUGUGUGUUGUUAUAUAUGUAUGUAUGUUAAUUUAUGCUUAUUUAUGU
Pelobates cultripes (western spadefoot toad) is the source of this 209-nucleotide non-coding RNA. The record is from the annotation of a GenBank genome assembly. Lineage: Eukaryota; Metazoa; Chordata; Amphibia; Anura; Pelobatidae.